RNAcentral lists this small nuclear RNA (19 nucleotides) under Arabidopsis thaliana (thale cress). Its description in RNAcentral is "snRNA_10042". Lineage: Eukaryota; Viridiplantae; Streptophyta; Magnoliopsida; Brassicales; Brassicaceae. The record is from RNAcentral.
AGGUCCACAAGGCAAAUCC